RNAcentral lists this small nuclear RNA (20 nucleotides) under Arabidopsis thaliana (thale cress). RNAcentral's name for it is "snRNA_09271". The record is from RNAcentral. Lineage: Eukaryota; Viridiplantae; Streptophyta; Magnoliopsida; Brassicales; Brassicaceae.
UUUUCUUGACCUUGUAAGAC